GGGGAAUUUUUCGCAAUGGGCGCAAGCCUGACGAAGCAACGCCGCGUGGAGGAUGAAGGCCCUAGCGGUCGUAAACUCCUGUCUAGCGGGACGAAAGUUAUCAGGGUGAAUAAUCCUGGUGGUUGACUGUACCGCUGGAGGAAGCUCCGGCCAACUCCGUGCCAGCAGCCGCGGUAAUACGAAGGGGGCAAGCGUUGUUCGGAAUUACUGGGCGUAAAGGGCGCGUAGGCGGCUUACCAAGUCAGGCGUGAAAUUCCCGGGCUCAACCUGGGGGCUGCGCUUGAUACUGGUGAGCUUGAAUGCGGGAGAGGAUAGUGGAAUUCCCAGUGUAGAGGUGAAAUUCGUAGAUAUUGGGAAGAACACCAGUGGCGAAGGCGGCUAUCUGGCCCGUGAUUGACGCUGAGGCGCGAAAGCGUGGGGAGCAA
This 425-nucleotide ribosomal RNA is filed under the name uncultured bacterium. RNAcentral's name for it is "bacterial SSU rRNA". It matches the Rfam family "Bacterial small subunit ribosomal RNA", at positions 356 to 771 of the family's 1533-position model. The record is from RNAcentral.